Molecule: ribosomal RNA, 450 nt
Filed under: uncultured bacterium
Lineage: Bacteria
Description: partial 16S ribosomal RNA
Rfam family: Bacterial small subunit ribosomal RNA
Source: RNAcentral
GUGGGGAAUCUUCCGCAAUGGACGAAAGUCUGACGGAGCAACGCCGCGUGAACGAUGACGGCCUUCGGGUUGUAAAGUUCUGUUAUACGGGACGAAUGGUACGACGGCCAAUACCCGUCGUAAGUGACGGUACCGUAAGAGAAAGCCACGGCUAACUACGUGCCAGCAGCCGCGGUAAUACGUAGGUGGCAAGCGUUGUCCGGAAUUAUUGGGCGUAAAGGGCGCGCAGGCGGCGUCGUAAGUCGGUCUUAAAAGUGCGGGGCUUAACCCCGUAAGGGGACCGAAACUGCGAUGCUAGAGUAUCGGAGAGGAAAGCGGAAUUCCUAGUGUAGCGGUGAAAUGCGUAGAUAUUAGGAGGAACACCAGUGGCGAAAGCGGCUUUCUGGACGACAACUGACGCUGAGGCGCGAAAGCCAGGGGAGCAAACGGGAUUAGAUACCCUGGUAGUCC